CCUGCAAGUCGAGCGGACAGAUGGGAGCUUGCUCCCUGAUGUUAGCGGCGGACGGGUGAGUAACACGUGGGUAACCUGCCUGUAAGACUGGGAUAACUCCGGGAAACCGGGGCUAAUACCGGAUGGUUGUUUGAACCGCAUGGUUCAAACAUAAAAGGUGGCUUCGGCUACCACUUACAGAUGGACCCGCGGCGCAUUAGCUAGUUGGUGAGGUAACGGCUCACCAAGGCAACGAUGCGUAGCCGACCUGAGAGGGUGAUCGGCCACACUGGGACUGAGACACGGCCCAGACUCCUACGGGAGGCAGCAGUAGGGAAUCUUCCGCAAUGGACGAAAGUCUGACGGAGCAACGCCGCGUGAGUGAUGAAGGUUUUCGGAUCGUAAAGCUCUGUUGUUAGGGAAGAACAAGUACCGUUCGAAUAGGGCGGUACCUUGACGGUACCUAACCAGAAAGCCACGGCUAACUACGUGCCAGCAGCCGCGGUAAUACGUAGGUGGCAAGCGUUGUCCGGAAUUAUUGGGCGUAAAGGGCUCGCAGGCGGUUUCUUAAGUCUGAUGUGAAAGCCCCCGGCUCAACCGGGGAGGGUCAUUGGAAACUGGGGAACUUGAGUGCAGAAGAGGAGAGUGGAAUUCCACGUGUAGCGGUGAAAUGCGUAGAGAUGUGGAGGAACACCAGUGGCGAAGGCGACUCUCUGGUCUGUAACUGACGCUGAGGAGCGAAAGCGUGGGGAGCGAACAGGAUUAGAUACCCUGGUAGUCCACGCCGUAAACGAUGAGUGCUAAGUGUUAGGGGGUUUCCGCCCCUUAUGCUGCAGCUAACGCAUUAAGCACUCCGCCUGGGGAGUACGGUCGCAAGACUGAAACUCAAAGGAAUUGACGGGGGCCGCACAAGCGGGGAGCAUGUGUUUAAUUCGAAGCAACGCGAAGAACCUUACCCUUGACAUCCUCUGACAUCCUAGAGAUAGGACGUCCCCUUCGGGGGCAAGAACAGGUG
RNAcentral lists this ribosomal RNA (994 nucleotides) under Bacillus sp. MLR1. RNAcentral describes it as "bacterial SSU rRNA". It matches the Rfam family "Bacterial small subunit ribosomal RNA", at positions 54 to 1040 of the family's 1533-position model. Lineage: Bacteria; Bacillati; Bacillota; Bacilli; Caryophanales; Bacillaceae. The record is from RNAcentral.